GUCCUCGUAGUAUACAAAAUACCUUGGUCUUGUAAACCAAAAAAGGAGAAUACCCGCCCUCCCUAGGACU
RNAcentral lists this transfer RNA (70 nucleotides) under Galidictis fasciata. RNAcentral describes it as "tRNA-Thr". Lineage: Eukaryota; Metazoa; Chordata; Mammalia; Carnivora; Eupleridae. The record is from RNAcentral.